AUCCCGUGUGAAUCUGCGAGGACCACCUCGUAAGGCUAAAUAUUCCUAAAUGACCGAUAGCGCAUAGUACCGUGAGGGAAAGGUGAAAAGAACCCCGCAAGGGGAGUGAAAUAGAACAUGAAACUAUAAGCUUACAAGCAGUAGGAGGACGACUUAACGUCUGACUGCGUGCCUGUUGAAGAAUGAGCCGGCGACUUAUAAGCAAUGGCAGGUUAAAUGUAGGAGCCAUAGCGAAAGCGAGUCUGAAUAGGGCGUUUGUCAUUGUUUAUAGACCCGAACCCGGAUGAUCUAACCAUGGUCAGGAUGAAGCUUAGGUAAAAUCAAGUGGAGGUCCGAACCGACUGAUGUUGAAAAAUCAGCGGAUGAAUUGUGGUUAGGGGUGAAAUGCCAAUCGAAUCCGGAGCUAGCUGGUUCUCCCCGAAAUGUGUUUUGGCGCAGCGAUUAAUGUUUAAAUUUAGGGGUAAAGCACUGUUUUUAUGCGGGCUGGUAAUUCGGUACCAAAUGAAGGCAAACUAAGAAUACUAAAUUGUAUAGUUAAUCAGUAAGACUGUGGGGGAUAAGCUCCAUUGUCAAGAGGGAAACAGCCCAGACCAUCAGUUAAGGCCCCUAAAAAUUGCUAAGUGCGAAAGGUGGUGGGAGUGCAUAGACAACCAGGAGGUUUGCUUAGAAGCAGCAAUCCUUUAAAGAAUGCGUAAUAGCUCACUGGUCGAGUAAACCUGCGCCGAAAAUGUACGGGACUAAGUAAUUUGCCGAAGCUAUGGGGUAAUAAUAAAUUAUCGGUAGGGGAGCGUUCUGUUGUAGGUUGAAGCGUUAGUGAAAACGGGCGUGGACGAAGCAGAAGUGAGAAUGUCGGCUUGAGUAGCGAAAACAUUGGUGAGAAUCCAAUGCCCCGAAAACCUAAGGAUUCCUCCGGAAGGCUCGUCCGCGGAGGGUUAGUCAGGACCUAAGGCAAGGCCGAUUUGGCGUAGUCGAUGGAUAACAGGUAGAUAUUCCUGUACCACUUUUUAUUGAUAAUGAGGGACGGAGCAGGCUAGUUCAGCCGGAUGUUGGUUACCGGUUUAAGCGUUUAGAUGUUGAGAAGUAGAGAAAAUACUUUGAGUUAAGACGUGAAUAGGAGAUACUUAAUCGUAUUGAAGUGAAUGAUGUCAUACUUCCAAGAAAAGCUCAAUCUAUCUUAAAUAUAAAGUGCCUGUACCAUAAACCGACACAGGUGGGUAAGUAGAGAAUACUAAGGGGCGCGAGAUAACUCUCUCUAAGGAACUCGGCAAAAUAACCCCGUAACUUUGGGAGAAGGGGUGCCUAUUUAGGCUGCAAUAACAAGGUCCAAGCGACUGUUUACCAAAAACACAGGUCUCCGCAAAGUCGCAAGACAAUGUAUGGGGGCUGACGCCUGCCCAGUGCCGGAAGGUUAAGGAAGUUGGUUAGCUUUAUGCGACGCUAGCGACUGAAGCCCCGGUGAACGGCGGCCGUAACUAUAACGGUCCUAAGGUAGCGAAAUUCCUUGUCGGGUAAGUUCCGACCUGCACGAAAGGCGUAACGAUUUGGACACUGUCUCGGAGAGAGGCUCGGUGAAAUAGACUUGUCUGUGAAGAUGCGGACUACCUGCACCUGGACAGAAAGACCCUAUGAAGCUUUACUGUAGCUUGGAAUUGACUUCAAACUUUAUUUGCGUAGGAUAGGUGGGAGGCUAUGAAGAUGAUCUUCUGGGAUUAUUGGAGCCAUCCUUGAAAUACCACCCUAAUAAUGUGAGAAUUCUAACUUUUCGCUGUGAAUCCAGCUGAAGGACAUUUUCAGGUGGUCAGUUUGACUGGGGCGGUCGCCUCCCAAAAGGUAACGGAGGCGUACAAAGGUUUCCUCAAAUCGGUCAGAAAUCGAUUGUAGAGCGCAAAGGCAAAAGGAAGCUUGACUGUGAGACCUACAAGUCGAACAGGGACGAAAGU
RNAcentral lists this ribosomal RNA (1940 nucleotides) under marine metagenome. RNAcentral's name for it is "bacterial LSU rRNA". It matches the Rfam family "Bacterial large subunit ribosomal RNA", at positions 431 to 2406 of the family's 2925-position model. The record is from RNAcentral.